Ribosomal RNA from Drosophila sechellia, 1917 nucleotides. It matches the Rfam family "Eukaryotic large subunit ribosomal RNA", at positions 1046 to 2642 of the family's 3401-position model. The record is from Rfam. Lineage: Eukaryota; Metazoa; Arthropoda; Insecta; Diptera; Drosophilidae.
CUUAACCUAUUCUCAAACUUUAAAUGGGUAACGAUAAGGUAACUUUCUUGAUAUGAAGUUCAAGGUUAUGAUAUAAUGUGCCCAGUGGGCCACUUUUGGUAAGCAGAACUGGCGCUGUGGGAUGAACCAAACGUAAUGUUACGGUGCCCAAAUUAACAACUCAUGCAGAUACCAUGAAAGGCGUUGGUUGCUUAAAACAGCAGGACGGUGAUCAUGGAAGUCGAAAUCCGCUAAGGAGUGUGUAACAACUCACCUGCCGAAGCAACUAGCCCUUAAAAUGGAUGGCGCUUAAGUUGUAUACCUAUACAUUACCGCUAAAGUAGAUGAUUUAUAUUACUUGUGAUAUAAAUUUUGAAACUUUAGUGAGUAGGAAGGUACAAUGGUAUGCGUAGAAGUGUUUGGCGUAAGCCUGCAUGGAGCUGCCAUUGGUACAGAUCUUGGUGGUAGUAGCAAAUAAUCGAAUGAGACCUUGGAGGACUGAAGUGGAGAAGGGUUUCGUGUGAACAGUGGUUGAUCACGAGUUAGUCGGUCCUAAGUUCAAGGCGAAAGCCGAAAAUUUUCAAGUAAAACAAAAAUGCCUAACUAUAUAAACAAAGCGAAUAUAAUACACUUGAAUAAUUUUGAACGAAAGGGAAUACGGUUCCAAUUCCGUAACCUGUUGAGUAUCCGUUUGUUAUUAAAUAUGGGCCUCGUGCUCAUCCUGGCAACAGGAACGACCAUAAAGAAGCCGUCGAGAGAUAUCGGAAGAGUUUUCUUUUCUGUUUUAUAGCCGUACUACCAUGGAAGUCUUUCGCAGAGAGAUAUGGUAGAUGGGCUAGAAGAGCAUGACAUAUACUGUUGUGUCGAUAUUUUCUCCUCGGACCUUGAAAAUUUAUGGUGGGGACACGCAAACUUCUCAACAGGCCGUACCAAUAUCCGCAGCUGGUCUCCAAGGUGAAGAGUCUCUAGUCGAUAGAAUAAUGUAGGUAAGGGAAGUCGGCAAAUUAGAUCCGUAACUUCGGGAUAAGGAUUGGCUCUGAAGAUUGAGAUAGUCGGGCUUGAUUGGGAACAUAACAUGGUUAUGUGCUCGUUCUGGGUAAAUAGAGUUUCUAGCAUUUAUGUAGUUACUUGUUCCCCGGAUAGUUAGUUACGUAGCCAAUUGUGGAACUUUCUUGCUAAAAUUUUUAAGAAUACUAUUUGGGUUAAACCAAUUAGUUCUUAUCAAUUAUAACGAUUAUCAAUUAACAAUCAAUUCAGAACUGGCACGGACUUGGGGAAUCCGACUGUCUAAUUAAAACAAAGCAUUGUGAUGGCCCUAGCGGGUGUUGACACAAUGUGAUUUCUGCCCAGUGCUCUGAAUGUCAAAGUGAAGAAAUUCAAGUAAGCGCGGGUCAACGGCGGGAGUAACUAUGACUCUCUUAAGGUAGCCAAAUGCCUCGUCAUCUAAUUAGUGACGCGCAUGAAUGGAUUAACGAGAUUCCUACUGUCCCUAUCUACUAUCUAGCGAAACCACAGCCAAGGGAACGGGCUUGGAAUAAUUAGCGGGGAAAGAAGACCCUUUUGAGCUUGACUCUAAUCUGGCAGUGUAAGGAGACAUAAGAGGUGUAGAAUAAGUGGGAGAUAUUAGACCUCGGUUUGGUAUCGUCAAUGAAAUACCACUACUCUUAUUGUUUCCUUACUUACUUGAUUAAAUGGAACGUGUAUCAUUUCCUAGCCAUUAUACGGAUAUAUUUAUUAUAUCUUAUGGUAUUGGGUUUUGAUGCAAGCUUCUUGAUCAAAGUAUCACGAGUUUGUUAUAUAAUCGCAAACAAAUUCUUUAAUAAAACGAUGCAUUUAUGUAUUUUUGAUUUGAAAAUUUGGUAUAACUCCAAUUACUCAGGUAUGAUCCAAUUCAAGGACAUUGCCAGGUAGGGAGUUUGACUGGGGCGGUACAUCUCU